GACGAACGCUGGCGGCGUGCAUAAUACAUGCAAGUCGAGCGGACUUUCAAUAAGCUUUAUUUUUGAAAGAUAGCGGCGUACGGGUGAGUAACACGUGGGCAACCUACCUGCAAGACGGGGAUAACUCCGGGAAACCGGGGCUAAUACCGGCUAAUAUCUUCCUUCUCAUGAAGGAAGGUUGAAAGGCGGCGCAAGCUUCCGCUUGCAGAGGUGCCCGCGGAGCAUUAGCUAGUUGUUGAGGUAACGGCUUACCAAGGCGACGAUGCGUAGCCGACCUGAAAGGGUGAUCGGCCACACUGGGACUGAGACACGGCCCAGACUCCUACGGGAGGCAGCAGUAGGGAAUCUUCCGCAAUGGACGAAAGUCUGACGGAGCAACGCCGCGUGAGCGAAGAAGGUCUUCGGAUCGUAAAGCUCUGUUGUCAGGGAAGAACAAGUACCGUUCGAACAGGGCGGUACCUUGACGGUACCUGACCAGAAAGCCACGGCUAACUACGUG
RNAcentral lists this ribosomal RNA (499 nucleotides) under uncultured bacterium. Its description in RNAcentral is "partial 16S ribosomal RNA". It matches the Rfam family "Bacterial small subunit ribosomal RNA", at positions 28 to 507 of the family's 1533-position model. The record is from RNAcentral.